AUGAACGCUGGCGGCGUGCCUAAUACAUGCAAGUCGAGCGAACAGACGAGGAGCUUGCUCCUCUGACGUUAGCGGCGGACGGGUGAGUAACACGUGGAUAACCUACCUAUAAGACUGGGAUAACUUCGGGAAACCGGAGCUAAUACCGGAUAAUAUAUUGAACCGCAUGGUUCAAUAGUGAAAGACGGUUUUGCUGUCACUUAUAGAUGGAUCCGCGCCGCAUUAGCUAGUUGGUAAGGUAACGGCUUACCAAGGCAACGAUGCGUAGCCGACCUGAGAGGGUGAUCGGCCACACUGGAACUGAGACACGGUCCAGACUCCUACGGGAGGCAGCAGUAGGGAAUCUUCCGCAAUGGGCGAAAGCCUGACGGAGCAACGCCGCGUGAGUGAUGAAGGUCUUCGGAUCGUAAAACUCUGUUAUUAGGGAAGAACAAAUGUGUAAGUAACUAUGCACGUCUUGACGGUACCUAAUCAUAAAGCCACGGCUAACUACGUG
RNAcentral lists this ribosomal RNA (496 nucleotides) under uncultured bacterium. RNAcentral's name for it is "partial 16S ribosomal RNA". It matches the Rfam family "Bacterial small subunit ribosomal RNA", at positions 29 to 507 of the family's 1533-position model. The record is from RNAcentral.